This is a non-coding RNA of Parelaphostrongylus tenuis, 73 nucleotides long. The record is from the annotation of a GenBank genome assembly. NCBI's taxonomy places the organism in Eukaryota, Metazoa, Nematoda, Chromadorea, Rhabditida, Metastrongylidae.
GCGUCGGUAGUGCAACAAUUCAGCACGCGCUCCCGCAGAGAGUGAGGUCUGGGUUCGGAUCCCGGCUGACGUA